This 2734-nucleotide ribosomal RNA is filed under the name Segatella copri. RNAcentral describes it as "partial 23S ribosomal RNA". It matches the Rfam family "Bacterial large subunit ribosomal RNA". Lineage: Bacteria; Pseudomonadati; Bacteroidota; Bacteroidia; Bacteroidales; Prevotellaceae. The record is from RNAcentral.
AGAGCUAACGCAGGGAACUGAAACAUCUUAGUACCUGCAGGAAGAGAAAAUAAAUGAAUGAUUCCCCCAGUAGUGGCGAGCGAACGGGGAACAGCCCAAACCAGUGGCGUCGCAAGGCGUGGCUGGGGUUGUAGGACCGCGACAUUGUAUGCAAAUCGUGAACAGAACACUUUGGAAAAUGUGACCAUAGACGGUGAUAGUCCAGUAUGUGAAGCGAAAUGCGGCAUAGCGGUAUCCUGAGUAACGCGGGACACGAGGAAUCCUGCGCGAAUCUGCCGGGACCAUCCGGUAAGGCUAAAUACUCCCGUGAGACCGAUAGCGAACGAGUACUGUGAAGGAAAGGUGAAAAGAACCCCGAGCAGGGGAGUGAAAUAGUUCCUGAAACCAUACGCCUACAAGCGGUCGGAGCACAGCAAUGUGUGACGGCGUGCCUUUUGCAUAAUGAUCCUACGAGUUACCGUCACUGGCGAGGUUGAGUGUCAUGAGACACGUAGCCGCAGUGAAAGCGAGCCUGAAGAGGGCGCACAGUCAGUGGGGGUAGACGCGAAACCAAGUGAUCUACACUUGGCCAGGAUGAAGUCCCGGUAACACGGGAUGGAGGUCCGCACCAAUAAGCGUUGAAAAGCUUCUGGAUGAGCCGAGUGUAGGAGUGAAAGGCCAAUCAAACUUGGAGAUAGCUCGUACUCCCCGAAAGGCAUUUAGGUGCCGCGUCGGAUGGUCACCGUGAGAGGUAGAGCGACCGAUAGGACAAGAGGGCUUCACCGCCUAUCGAGUCCUGACGAACUCCGAAUGCUCACGGUCUGCAGUCCGGCAGUAAGGGGGCGGGUGCUAAGGUCCGUCCCCGAGAGGAGAAGAAUCCAGACCGCCGUCUAAGGUCCCGGAGUUCUGCCUGAGUUAGUCUAACGAAGUCUGGUCCCUAUGACAGCUAGGAUGUUGGCUUGGAAGCAGCCAUUCAUUCAAAGAGUGCGUAACAGCUCACUAGUCGAGGGUCCGGGCAUGGAUAAUAAUCGGGUAUAAGGCAGACACCGAAGGCGCGGGAUAGCAAUUUUAAAAGUAUCGGUAGGGGAGCAUACUCACAGCGUCGAAUGGUGUACGUAAGUUAUCCUGGAGCGGUGAGUAAAGCAAAUGUAGGAAUAAGUAACGAUAAGGGGGGUUAGAUUCCCUCCCGCUGUAAGACCAAGGUUUCCCGGGCAAUGCCAAUCAGCCCGGGGUCAGUCGGGUCCUAAGUCUAAGCCGAACGGCGAUGGCGAUGGCAGAGACGGUUAAUAUUCCGUCACUGCCGCAUGGGGCGACGUGGAGACGGAGCAGUGAAACCACCGCGGGGCGACGGAAGUCCCCGUUGAAGAGUGUAGGUGUUGAGGAUGGCAGGCAAAUCCACCAUCCGAGCUGAACUUGACAGUACGGAGUCCUCCUCGGAGGAAUCUGAUAGUGUGGGUAAUCAUACUCCCGAGAAAAUCCGCUAAGCUUAACCCAUGCGGCACCCGUACCGCAAACGGACACACGUGGUCGGGUAGAACAUACUAAGGCGUUGAGAGAUUCAUGGUUAAGGAACUAGGCAAAUUGACCCUGUAACUUCGGGAUAAAGGGUCCUCGUGAUGAGCGAGGCGCAGAGAAUAGGUCCAGGCAACUGUUUAACAAAAACACAGGGCUGUGCAAACUCGAAAGAUGACGUAUACAGCCUGACACCUGCCCGGUGCCGGAAGGUUAAGAGGAGAUGUCACUCGCAAGAGGAAGCAUUGAAUUGAAGCCCCGGUAAACGGCGGCCGUAACUAUAACGGUCCUAAGGUAGCGAAAUUCCUUGUCGGGUAAGUUCCGACCUGCACGAAUGGUGUAAUGAUCCGGACGCUGUCUCAACCAUGAGCUCAGUGAAAUUGUAGUAUCGGUGAAGAUGCCGAUUACCCGCGAUGGGACGAAAAGACCCCGUGAACCUUUACUACAGCUUAGCAUUGACCUUGGUCAUCCGAUGUGUAGGAUAGGCCGGAGGCUUCGAAGCGGGAGCGCCAGCUUUCGUGGAGCCAUCCUUGAAAUACGGCCCUUUGGCUGUCUGAGGUCUAACGCGUGAUAACGCGGACACUGCUUGGUGGGUAGUUUGACUGGGGUGGUCGCCUCCAAAAGCGUAACGGAGGCUUCCAAAGGUGCCCUCGGGUCGAUUGGUAACCGACCUCAAAGAGUGCAAUGGCAUAAGGGCGCUUGACUGGGAGGCAGACAUGCCGAGCAGGCAGGAAACUGGGGCAUAGUGAUCCGGCGGAUGUGUAUGGAAACUCCGUCGCUCAAAGGAUAAAAGGUACUCCGGGGAUAACAGGCUGAUCCCCCCCAAGAGCUCAUAUCGACGGGGUGGUUUGGCACCUCGAUGUCGGCUCGUCACAUCCUGGGGCUGGAGAAGGUCCCAAGGGUUGGGCUGUUCGCCCAUUAAAGUGGCACGCGAGCUGGGUUCAGAACGUCGUGAGACAGUUCGGUCUCUAUCUAUCGUGGGCGUGGGAGUUUUGAGUGGUGCCGUCACUAGUACGAGAGGACCGUGAUGGACAGACCUCCGGUUUACCAGUUGUGCCGCCAGGCGCACCGCUGGGUAUCUGAGUCUGGAUUGGAUAAGCGCUGAAAGCAUCUAAGUGCGAAGCCAGCCGCAAGAUGAGAACUCCAUUGAGGGUCGUCAAAGACGAUGACGUUGAUAGGAUGCAGGUGUAAAGACAGCGAUGUCAAAGCCGAGCAUUACUAAUUGCCCGAACACUUUCUUUAA